UUUAUUGCUCAUGAUCAACUACAUUCAAAAGCAUGAAUCUACAUUUACAUUAAAACAAAAAAUGUGUUUAAAAAUGAAAUAAUAGGCUUUUAAGCCAAUGGUUUUCUUAUUCGUAUAUGGUAUUUUUAUCUUGAAAAGUCAAUCACGGUUCUUUUCUCCUCUCACCAUACUUCAUAUUCCUUUUGUUAGCAUCACUACUUCAUGCAAGUUUGAUAACAUCCUUUAUAACAACUCUCUGAUUUUUCCAGGU
Molecule: long non-coding RNA, 250 nt
Filed under: Cucumis sativus (cucumber)
Lineage: Eukaryota; Viridiplantae; Streptophyta; Magnoliopsida; Cucurbitales; Cucurbitaceae
Description: long non-coding RNA (CSAT_LNC003197)
Source: RNAcentral